This 444-nucleotide ribosomal RNA is filed under the name uncultured bacterium. RNAcentral's name for it is "SSU rRNA". It matches the Rfam family "Bacterial small subunit ribosomal RNA", at positions 26 to 518 of the family's 1533-position model. The record is from RNAcentral.
AGAGCGAACGCUGGCGGCAUGCUUAACACAUGCAAGUCGCACGGGCACUUCGGUGUCAGUGGCGGACGGGUGAGUAACGCGUAGGUAUCUAUCCUUGGGUGGGGGACAACUGUGGGAAACUACAGCUAAUACCGCAUGAUAACUGAGGUUUAAAGGCGCAAGUCGCCUGAGGAGGAGCCUGCGUACGAUUAGCUAGUUGGUGGGUAAAGGCCUACCAAGGCGACGAUCGUUAGCUGGUCUGAGAGGAUGAUCAGCCACAUUGGGACUGAGACACGGCCCAAACUCCUACGGGAGGCAGCAGUGGGGAAUAUUGGACAAUGGGCGCAAGCCUGAUCCAGCAAUGCCGCGUGUGUGAAGAAGGUCUUCGGAUUGUAAAGCACUUUCGACGGGGACAUGAUGACGGUACCCGUAGAAGAGCCCGGCUAACUUCGCGCCAGCAGCCGC